This 208-nucleotide ribosomal RNA is filed under the name uncultured bacterium. Its description in RNAcentral is "partial 16S ribosomal RNA". It matches the Rfam family "Bacterial small subunit ribosomal RNA", at positions 524 to 729 of the family's 1533-position model. The record is from RNAcentral.
UACGUAGGGUGCGAGCGUUAAUCGGAAUUACUGGGCGUAAAGCGUGCGCAGGCGGUUCGUUGUGUCGGCGGUGAAAGCCCCGGGCUUAACUUGGGAAUUGCGCUCGAAACUACGUGGCUGGAGUUCGGCAGGGGAGACUGGGAAUUCCUGGUGUAGCGGUGAAAUGCGCAGGAUAUCAGGAGGAACACCGGUGGCGAAGGCGGGUCUC